UUUAGUCUAGUUUAAAAUAAAACAAAUGUUUGUCAAGCAUUAAAUGCCCAGGCGAUUUGGC
RNAcentral lists this transfer RNA (61 nucleotides) under Hermissenda emurai. RNAcentral describes it as "tRNA-Asp". The record is from RNAcentral. Lineage: Eukaryota; Metazoa; Mollusca; Gastropoda; Nudibranchia; Glaucidae.